RNAcentral lists this ribosomal RNA (484 nucleotides) under uncultured bacterium. RNAcentral describes it as "bacterial SSU rRNA". It matches the Rfam family "Bacterial small subunit ribosomal RNA", at positions 30 to 507 of the family's 1533-position model. The record is from RNAcentral.
AUUGAACGCUGGCGGCAUGCCUUACACAUGCAAGUCGAACGGCAGCACGGGAGCAAUCCUGGUGGCGAGUGGCGAACGGGUGAGUAAUAUAUCGGAACGUGCCCAGUCGUGGGGGAUAACGUAGCGAAAGCUACGCUAAUACCGCAUACGAUCUAAGGAUGAAAGCGGGGGAUCGCAAGACCUCGCGCGAUUGGAGCGGCCGAUAUCAGAUUAGGUAGUUGGUGAGGUAAAGGCUCACCAAGCCGACGAUCUGUAGCUGGUCUGAGAGGACGACCAGCCACACUGGGACUGAGACACGGCCCAGACUCCUACGGGAGGCAGCAGUGGGGAAUUUUGGACAAUGGGCGCAAGCCUGAUCCAGCAAUGCCGCGUGCAGGAUGAAGGCCUUCGGGUUGUAAACUGCUUUUGUACGGAACGAAACGGUGAGCUCUAAUACAGUUUGCUAAUGACGGUACCGUAAGAAUAAGCACCGGCUAACUACGUG